GCGAGGUCGAGCUAAUCUCCAAAAGCCAUCUCAGUUCGGAUUGCACUCUGCAACUCGAGUGCAUGAAGUUGGAAUCGCUAGUAAUCGCAGAUCAGCAUGCUGCGGUGAAUACGUUCCCGGGCCUUGUACACACCGCCCGUCACACCAUGGGAGUUGGUUCUACCCGAAGGUAGUGCGCUAACCGCAAGGAGGCAGCUAACCACGGUAGGGUCAGCGACUGGGGUGAAGUCGUAACAAGGUAGCCGUAGGGGAACCUGCGGCUGGAUCACCUCCUUUCUAAG
This 281-nucleotide ribosomal RNA is filed under the name Sinorhizobium medicae. RNAcentral describes it as "partial 16S ribosomal RNA". It matches the Rfam family "Bacterial small subunit ribosomal RNA", at positions 1257 to 1533 of the family's 1533-position model. The record is from RNAcentral. Lineage: Bacteria; Pseudomonadati; Pseudomonadota; Alphaproteobacteria; Hyphomicrobiales; Rhizobiaceae.